AACGAACGCUGGCGGCAGGCUUAACACAUGCAAGUCGAACGCCCCGCAAGGGGAGUGGCAGACGGGUGAGUAACACGUGGGAACGUGCCCUUCGCUUCGGGAUAGCCUCGGGAAACUGGGAGUAAUACCGAAUACGCCGUAUUGGGAAAGAUAUAUCGGCGAAGGAUCGGCCCGCGUUGGAUUAGCUAGUUGGCGGUGUAAUGGACCACCAAGGCUACGAUCCAUAGCUGGUCUGAGAGGACGACCAGCCACACUGGGACUGAGACACGGCCCAGACUCCUACGGGAGGCAGCAGUGGGGAAUCUUGGACAAUGGGCGCAAGCCUGAUCCAGCCAUGCCGCGUGAGUGAAGAAGGCCUUAGGGUUGUAAAACUCUUUCGCCGGUGAAGAUAAUGACGGUAACCGGAGAAUAAGCCCGGCUAACUUCGUGCCAGCAGCCGCGGUAAU
RNAcentral lists this ribosomal RNA (446 nucleotides) under uncultured bacterium. RNAcentral describes it as "bacterial SSU rRNA". It matches the Rfam family "Bacterial small subunit ribosomal RNA", at positions 29 to 524 of the family's 1533-position model. The record is from RNAcentral.